RNAcentral lists this long non-coding RNA (237 nucleotides) under Homo sapiens (human). RNAcentral's name for it is "non-protein coding lnc-FAM156B-2:1". The record is from RNAcentral. Lineage: Eukaryota; Metazoa; Chordata; Mammalia; Primates; Hominidae.
UGAGAUUACAGGCGUGAGCCACCGCGCCCGGCCACUAAAUUUCAAGACUAGAUUUUACUACAUGCACUCUAAAAAAAAUCUGGCUUAAAAAUCCGGUUGGGCGCCAUGGCUCACGCCUGUAAUCCUAACACUUUGGGAGGUUGAGGCAGGUGGAUCGUUUGACGCCAGAAGUUCGAGACCAGCCUGGUCAACAUUGUGAAACCCUGUCUCUAUUAAAAAGACAAAAAUCAGCCAGGC